Molecule: ribosomal RNA, 465 nt
Filed under: uncultured bacterium
Lineage: Bacteria
Description: partial 16S ribosomal RNA
Rfam family: Bacterial small subunit ribosomal RNA
Source: RNAcentral
GACGAACGCUGGCGGCGUGCUUAACACAUGCCAGUCGAACGGAAAGGCCCCUUUGGGGGUACUCGAGUGGCGAACGGGUGAGUAACACGUGCGUAACCUGCCCUUGACUUCGGGAUAACUUCAGGAAACUGGGGCUAAUACCGGCUAGGAAUCCUUGCUGCCUGGUGGGGGUUGGAAAGCUUCGGCGGUUUUGGAUGGACUCGCGGCUUAUCAGCUUGCUGGUGGGGUAGUGGCUUACCAAGGCUUUGACGGGUAGCCGGCCUGGGAGGGCGACCGGCCACAUUGGGACUGAGAUACGGCCCAGACUCCUACGGGAGGCAACAGUGGGGAAUAUUGCACAAUGGGCGGAAGCCUGAUGCAGCAACGCCGCGUGCGGGAAGACGGCCUUCGGGUUGUAAACCGCUUUCAGCAGGGGCGAAGCUUGUGGUGACGGUACCUGCAGAAGAAGCACCGGCUAACUACGUG